GCUUUUGGUUGCUUGCUUGCAUUUGUGCUAUGUGGGUGGCUACUAGUCGGGUGGUUUCGGAAAAUGUUUACCGUAAAGGUGCAUGAGUGGUGUUUGGUUUGUUACGGGUGGUUGGAUGUCUUCUAGUGAAGCAACUUCCAUGCGUGCUUACCUCUUCAUUUACGUAGCAAGGCUUAUUUUAGUGUUGCUCGUAUUGUGGGUUUACUGUGUUGCGUACCUAAUCGAAGGCAUUGUAUGGACCGAAUGAAUAUGUAUCCGUCAUGCAUCGCACAAGUGGUGCAUGAUGGACCGGUAAGUGGUCUCAGUAAUCCAUCUUGUCGUUGUGUACACAUCGGCGAUGUGGCUUGCUGAGUUUCGCUUGGUGUCUUGGAUAUGGAACCUAAUGUGGGCAUGGGUCUUAAAUGAUCUUUUUAUGUCCUUGUUUAGCGUUCUCGCUUCUCUAAAACGAUCACUCGUCGCGUGUUGGCUAGUCCAUGCRUGGCGGGUUGCGUCGAAGAGGAAUGCUACC
RNAcentral lists this unclassified non-coding RNA (508 nucleotides) under Gazania rigida. RNAcentral's name for it is "partial external transcribed spacer". The record is from RNAcentral. Lineage: Eukaryota; Viridiplantae; Streptophyta; Magnoliopsida; Asterales; Asteraceae.